AGAGUUUGAUCCUGGCUCAGAGUGAACGCUGGCGGCGUGCCUAAUACAUGCAAGUCGAACGAUGAAGCUUCUAGCUUGCUAGAGUGCUGAUUAGUGGCGCACGGGUGAGUAACGCAUAGGUCAUGUGCCUCUUAGUUUGGGAUAGCCAUUGGAAACGAUGAUUAAUACCAGAUACUCCCUACGGGGGAAAGAUUUAUCGCUAAGAGAUCAGCCUAUGUCCUAUCAGCUUGUUGGUAAGGUAAUGGCUUACCAAGGCUAUGACGGGUAUCCGGCCUGAGAGGGUUAAACGGACACACUGGAACUGAGACUACGGUCCAGACUCCUACGGGAGGCAGCAGUAGGGAAUAUUGCUCAAUGGGGGAAACCCUGAAGCAGCAACGCCGCGUGGAGGAUGAAGGUUUUAGGAUUGUAAACUCCUUUUUGUUAGAGAAGAUAAUGACGGUAUCUAACGAAUAAGCACCGGCUAACUCCGUGCCAGCAGCCGCGGUAAUACGGAGGGUGCAAGCGUUACUCGGAAUCACUGGGCGUAAAGAGCGCGUAGGCGGGAUAGUCAGUCAGGUGUGAAAUCCUAUGGCUUAACCAUAGAACUGCAUUUGAAACUACUAUUCUAGAGUGUGGGAGAGGUAGGUGGAAUUCUUGGUGUAGGGGUAAGAUCCGUAGAGAUCAAGAGGAAUACUCAUUGCGAAGGCGACCUGCUGGAACAUUACUGACGCUGAUUGCGCGAAAGCGUGGGGAGCAAACAGGAUUAGAUACCCUGGUAGUCCACGCCCUAAACGAUGGAUGCUAGUUGUUGGAGGGCUUAGUCUCUCCAGUAAUGCAGCUAACGCAUUAAGCAUCCCGCCUGGGGAGUACGGUCGCAAGAUUAAAAACUCAAAGGAAUAGACGGGGACCCGCACAAGCGGUGGAGCAUGUGGUUUAAUUCGAAGAUACACGAAGAACCUUACCUAGGCUUGACAUUGAGAGAAUCCGCUAGAAAUAGUGGAGUGUCUAGCUUGCUAGACCUUGAAAACAGGUGCUGCACGGCUGUCGUCAGCUCGUGUCGUGAGAUGUUGGGUUAAGUCCCGCAACGAGCGCAACCCCCUUUCUUAGUUGCUAACAGGUCAUGCUGAGAACUCUAAGGAUACUGUCUCCGUAAGGAGGAGGAAGGUGGGGACGACGUCAAGUCAUCAUGGCCCUUACGCCUAGGGCUACACACGUGCUACAAUGGGGUGCACAAAGAGAAGCAAUACUGCGAAGUGGAGCCAAUCUUCAAAACGCCUCUCAGUUCGGAUUGUAGGCUGCAACUCGCCUGCAUGAAGCUGGAAUCGCUAGUAAUCGCAAAUCAGCCAUGUUGCGGUGAAUACGUUCCCGGGUCUUGUACUCACCGCCCGUCACACCAUGGGAGUUGUGUUUGCCUUAAGUCAGGAUGCUAAACUAGCUACUGCCCACGGCACACACAGCGACUGGGGUGAAGUCGUAACAAGGUAACCGUAGGUGAACCUGCGGUUG
This 1488-nucleotide ribosomal RNA is filed under the name Helicobacter pylori Hp A-20. RNAcentral's name for it is "bacterial SSU rRNA". It matches the Rfam family "Bacterial small subunit ribosomal RNA". Lineage: Bacteria; Pseudomonadati; Campylobacterota; Epsilonproteobacteria; Campylobacterales; Helicobacteraceae. The record is from RNAcentral.